This 533-nucleotide ribosomal RNA is filed under the name uncultured organism. Its description in RNAcentral is "bacterial SSU rRNA". It matches the Rfam family "Bacterial small subunit ribosomal RNA", at positions 480 to 997 of the family's 1533-position model. The record is from RNAcentral.
CCCAGAGGAAGCCACGGCUAACUUCUUGCCAGCAGUCGCGGUAAUACGAAGGUGGCGAGCGUUGUUCGGAAUCACUGGGCUUAAAGGGCACGCAGGCGGACUGUUAAGCGUCUUGUGAAAGCCCCCGGGUUAACCGGGGAAUUGCUGGGGGAUCUGGCAGUCUUGAGGCAGGUCAGGGCGAGUGGAACUCUUGGUGGAGCGGUGUACAUGCGUAGAUAUCAAGAGGACCGCCGGAGGCGAAAGCGACUCGCUGGGGCUGAGCUGACGCUGACGUGCGACCGCCAGGGGAGCGAACGGGAUGAGAUACCCCGGUAAUCCGGGCCACUGAGCGAUGUCCACAGAGAUCGCGUGAACUUCAUGACAGCACUGCCGGUCAGAAACAACAAGAGUUAAGUGAGACCGCCUAGGGGAGGACAGGUCGCAAAGGCUAAAACUCAAAGGAACUUGACGGGGGCUCAAACAAGCGGUGGAGCAUGUUGCAUAAUUCGAUGCAACGCGAAGAACCUUAUCCUGGGCUUGACAUGGUAGGAUGC